Molecule: long non-coding RNA, 171 nt
Organism: Physella acuta
Lineage: Eukaryota; Metazoa; Mollusca; Gastropoda; Physidae
Source: RefSeq, a predicted model, not a curated record
AUGACCAUUCUAGAGUACACUUGGAUAUUAAUGAAAAAAAGAAUGAAGGAGACUAUAUCAACGCUUCAUACAUUCAGGGAUACAACAAUGAGGAAAAAUUCAUCGCAUCGCAAGGACCCAACAGUAUUAUUAUCAACGACUUCGUACGAAUGCUGUGGGAACAAAAAGUGG